This 904-nucleotide long non-coding RNA is filed under the name Salmo salar (Atlantic salmon). RNAcentral describes it as "lncRNA (ENSSSAG00000089344.1)". The record is from RNAcentral. Lineage: Eukaryota; Metazoa; Chordata; Actinopteri; Salmoniformes; Salmonidae.
GUAACUGUUAGGUUGAAUGCCCUCCACCAAUACCCUGGACUGUAACUGUUAGGUUGAAUGCCCUCCACCAAUACCCUGGACUGUAACUGUUAGGUUGAAUGCCCUCCACCAAUACCCUGGACUGUUACUGUUAGGUUGAAUGCCCUCCUCCAAUCCCCUGGACUGUUACUGUUAGGUUGAAUGCCCUCCACCAAUACCCUGGACUGUAACUGUUAGGUUGAAUGCCCUCCACCAAUCCCCUGGACUGUAACUGUUAGGUUGAAUGCCCUCCACCAAUACCCUGGACUGUAACUGUUAGGUUGAAUGCCCUCCACCAAUACCCUGGACUGUAACUGUUAGGUUGAAUGCCCUCCUCCAAUCCCCUGGACUGUUACUGUUAGGUUGAAUGCCCUCCACCAAUACCCUGGACUGUAACUGUUAGGUUGAAUGCCCUCCUCCAAUCCCCUGGACUGUAACUGUUAGGUUGAAUGCCCUCCACCAAUACCCUGGACUGUAACUGUUAGGUUGAAUGCCCUCCUCCAAUCCCCUGGACUGUUACUGUUAGGUUGAAUGCCCUCCACCAAUCCCCUGGACUGUUACUGUUAGGUUGAAUGCCCUCCACCAAUACCCUGGACUGUAACUGUUAGGUUGAAUGCCCUCCUCCAAUCCCCUGGACUGUUACUGUUAGGUUGAAUGACUAACGAUGAAGCCUACCGAAGCCUACAGUGAUUUGCUCUGACAGCAUUUUCUAUGUUAAUUUGACUAAUGAGUAACAUUUAAAGUAUUUUUUAAAGAGGUACUCAUGUCAACAAAUGAAUGGAGUUUCUUUUACAGGGAGAGCUGUAUGAACGGGGGAUAGACACUAUGAGGAAAUGGGAGGGGAGAGGAGGGGACGUCACAUAGUUUUACAACCUGAAGGAUGAAC